UGCAGUCGAGCGGAUGACGGGAGCUUGCUCCUUGAUUCAGCGGCGGACGGGUGAGUAAUGCCUAGGAAUCUGCCUGGUAGUGGGGGACAACGUUUCGAAAGGAACGCUAAUACCGCAUACGUCCUACGGGAGAAAGCAGGGGACCUUCGGGCCUUGCGCUAUCAGAUGAGCCUAGGUCGGAUUAGCUAGUUGGUGGGGUAAUGGCUCACCAAGGCGACGAUCCGUAACUGGUCUGAGAGGAUGAUCAGUCACACUGGAACUGAGACACGGUCCAGACUCCUACGGGAGGCAGCAGUGGGGAAUAUUGGACAAUGGGCGAAAGCCUGAUCCAGCCAUGCCGCGUGUGUGAAGAAGGUCUUCGGAUUGUAAAGCACUUUAAGUUGGGAGGAAGGGCAGUAAGCGAAUACCUUGCUGUUUUGACGUUACCGACAGAAUAAGCACCGGCUAACUCUGUGCCA
RNAcentral lists this ribosomal RNA (458 nucleotides) under Pseudomonas sp. RNAcentral's name for it is "bacterial SSU rRNA". It matches the Rfam family "Bacterial small subunit ribosomal RNA", at positions 56 to 510 of the family's 1533-position model. Lineage: Bacteria; Pseudomonadati; Pseudomonadota; Gammaproteobacteria; Pseudomonadales; Pseudomonadaceae. The record is from RNAcentral.